UACGGAGGGUGCAAGCGUUAUCCGGAUUCACUGGGUUUAAAGGGUGCGUAGGUGGGAAGGUAAGUCAGUGGUGAAAUCCCCGAGCUUAACUUGGGAACUGCCAUUGAUACUAUCUUUCUUGAAUACCUUGGAGGUGAGCGGAAUAUGUCAUGUAGCGGUGAAAUGCUUAGAUAUGACAUAGAACACCAAUUGCGAAGGCAGCUCGCUACACUAUUAUUGACGCUGAGGCACGAAAGCGUGGGGAUCAAACAGG
Molecule: ribosomal RNA, 253 nt
Filed under: uncultured prokaryote
Description: partial 16S ribosomal RNA
Rfam family: Bacterial small subunit ribosomal RNA
Source: RNAcentral